This 716-nucleotide ribosomal RNA is filed under the name Pseudonocardia sp. YIM 64716. RNAcentral describes it as "bacterial SSU rRNA". It matches the Rfam family "Bacterial small subunit ribosomal RNA", at positions 76 to 801 of the family's 1533-position model. Lineage: Bacteria; Bacillati; Actinomycetota; Actinomycetes; Pseudonocardiales; Pseudonocardiaceae. The record is from RNAcentral.
CCCUUUCGGGGGUACACGAGCGGCGAACGGGUGAGUAACACGUGGGUGACCUGCCCUCAGCUCUGGGAUAAGCCUGGGAAACCGGGUCUAAUACCGGAUAUGACCUCCUGUCGCAUGGCGGGUGGUGGAAAGUUUUUUCGGCUGAGGAUGGGCCCGCGGCCUAUCAGCUUGUUGGUGGGGUGAUGGCCUACCAAGGCGACGACGGGUAGCCGGCCUGAGAGGGCGACCGGCCACACUGGGACUGAGACACGGCCCAGACUCCUACGGGAGGCAGCAGUGGGGAAUAUUGCGCAAUGGGCGGAAGCCUGACGCAGCGACGCCGCGUGGGGGAUGACGGCCUUCGGGUUGUAAACCUCUUUCGCCAUCGACGAAGCCCUUCGGGGUGACGGUAGGUGGAGAAGAAGCACCGGCCAACUACGUGCCAGCAGCCGCGGUAAUACGUAGGGUGCGAGCGUUGUCCGGAAUUAUUGGGCGUAAAGAGCUCGUAGGCGGUGUGUCGCGUCGGUCGUGAAAACUUGGGGCUUAACCCUGAGCUUGCGGUCGAUACGGGCAUCACUUGAGUUCGGCAGGGGAGACUGGAAUUCCUGGUGUAGCGGUGAAAUGCGCAGAUAUCAGGAGGAACACCGGUGGCGAAGGCGGGUCUCUGGGCCGAUACUGACGCUGAGGAGCGAAAGCGUGGGGAGCGAACAGGAUUAGAUACCCUGGUAGUCCACGCC